Molecule: non-coding RNA, 191 nt
Organism: Erinaceus europaeus (western European hedgehog)
Lineage: Eukaryota; Metazoa; Chordata; Mammalia; Eulipotyphla; Erinaceidae
Source: Rfam
AUGGCUUCUCGGCCUUUUGGCUAAGUUCAAGUGUAGUAUCUGUUCUUACCAGUUUAAUAUCUGAUACGCCCUCUAUCCGAGGACACUAUAGUAAAUGGAUUUUUGGAGCAGGGAGUUGGAAUGGGGCCUUGCUCCGUCCGCUUCACGUGUCAACCUGGUAUUGUAGUACUUCCAGGAAUGGUGCACCCCCA